Molecule: long non-coding RNA, 517 nt
Organism: Salvelinus namaycush (lake trout)
Lineage: Eukaryota; Metazoa; Chordata; Actinopteri; Salmoniformes; Salmonidae
Exons: 3
Source: RefSeq, a predicted model, not a curated record
GGCAGAGGAUGAAGAAGCUAAGAAUAUUCAGAGACAAUUGGCUGCCUAUCUUAGUGAGGAGGACUAUGACCUAAACCUUCUUCAGGUGUCUGAAGAGGCUGGGGCUGAACCAUCAUAAUCUGACUUGGAUGAAGAGGCUGCCCUGCACUUCUACAGAGGAAUGGAGAGGCUGAAACUGAAUAUGACCUACAGGCUGAGGAGAAGGAUGAAGAGGAGUUGGAUCCGGAUACCAAGAGACGCAAUACCUACCAGGUACAGUGUCUCACCCUCUGAGUAAUAUCCUUUAAACAUGUAGAAAUUAGUUACACACACAAGUAUACAGCAGUAAUUAUUUAUUGUACAGCUUAGCCUUCAUGUACAAUAUUUAUUUGUUACCAUGUCACUUGUUACCAUGUCUCAAUGAGUUUCCAUACUCAUUGUACAAAGCACAAUAUUAAGAAAACAUUUUCACCCAGUACUUCAAAUCAUGACCUUCGUAUCAGAUUAUUCUUGUAUUUUAUAUGUUAGAGUUUUCCCU